ACUCUUCUUGCUGUCUCAAUACAUAAGCUACUACUCCAGCACUGUGCCUGACAACCUGCUGCUGCCAUGCUCCCCAUAAUGAUGGCCAUGGACUCUAUUAGCCUUGGGAAUGGUAGUCAGCCACACUCCAGAGAGGUGAUCCGAAUGAAACCUUACUGCCUAGGGUAGGCCUUCCUGAGGACAAUGAAUGAACACAUCUUCCAUUUUGCCCAACCCAAAGACCACCAAGACCAGCUCAGCGCACAAGCAUCUAUUCCUGAUUCUAAUCCUCAUACUCGGCCAAGCAGCAAAAUGUCUCACACAGAGAAAGCAAAUAUAUGAAAAUGCCUAACUGGCAAGCUAUCAAGUUAUUGUCAAUGUAUUACAGUGCAGUAAAACGAAACGAUCCUUUCUGCCUGGCCAAGACUGAUGACUGAUGAAGUACAAACUCCCCAAGACUGUGACGUCCCUGACACCCCUAAAAUAAGAGAUCGGAUAUGUGUGAGGCUAGUCUUCUCUCACAAGGCCUUGAAAAAUACAAGCUAACUUUCUAAGC
This is a long non-coding RNA of Rattus norvegicus (Norway rat), 535 nucleotides long. RefSeq lists it as uncharacterized. The record is from RefSeq and is a predicted model, not a curated record. NCBI's taxonomy places the organism in Eukaryota, Metazoa, Chordata, Mammalia, Rodentia, Muridae.